GACGAACGCUGGCGGCGUGCUUAACACAUGCAAGUCGAACGGUAAGGCCCUUCGGGGUACACGAGUGGCGAACGGGUGAGUAACACGUGGGUGAUCUGCCCUGCACUUCGGGAUAAGCCUGGGAAACUGGGUCUAAUACCGGAUAGGACCACUGCCUGCAUGGGUGGUGGUGGAAAGCUUUUGCGGUGUGGGAUGGGCCCGCGGCCUAUCAGGUUGUUGGUGGGGUGAUGGCCUACCAAGGCGACGACGGGUAGCCGGCCUGAGAGGGUGACCGGCCACACUGGGACGGAGAUACGGCCCAGACUCCUACGGGAGGCAGCAGUGGGGAAUAUUGCACAAUGGGCGCAAGCCUGAUGCAGCGACGCCGCGUGAGGGAUGACGGCCUUCGGGUUGUAAACCUCUUUCAGCACCGACGAAGCGCAAGUGACGGUAGGUGCAGAAGAAGGACCGGCCAACUACGUGCCAGCAGCCGCCGUAA
This 478-nucleotide ribosomal RNA is filed under the name uncultured bacterium. RNAcentral's name for it is "partial 16S ribosomal RNA". It matches the Rfam family "Bacterial small subunit ribosomal RNA", at positions 28 to 523 of the family's 1533-position model. The record is from RNAcentral.